GUUCCGGAUUGAAGGGCAGGAUAGCCGGCC
Molecule: non-coding RNA, 30 nt
Filed under: Bombyx mori (domestic silkworm)
Lineage: Eukaryota; Metazoa; Arthropoda; Insecta; Lepidoptera; Bombycidae
Source: RNAcentral